UACGUAGGGUGCAAGCGUUGUCCGGAAUUAUUGGGCGUAAAGGGCUCGUAGGCGGUCCAUCGCGUCGGGAGUGAAAAGCUGGGGCUUAACCCCAGUCCUGCUUCCGAUACGGGUGGACUAGAGGUAGGUAGGGGAGAUCGGAAUUCCUGGUGUAGCGGUGAAAUGCGCAGAUAUCUGGAGGAACACCGGUGGCGAAGGCGGCAUCCUGGACCGGCAUUGACGCUGAGGAGCGAAAGCCAGGGGAGCAAACGGG
RNAcentral lists this ribosomal RNA (253 nucleotides) under uncultured bacterium. Its description in RNAcentral is "partial 16S ribosomal RNA". It matches the Rfam family "Bacterial small subunit ribosomal RNA", at positions 524 to 776 of the family's 1533-position model. The record is from RNAcentral.